UACGUAGGGACCAAGCGUUGUUCGGAUUUACUGGGCGUAAAGGGCGCGUAGGCGGCGCGGUAAGUCACGUGUGAAAUCUCUGAGCUUAACUCAGAACGGCCAAGUGAUACUGCAGUGCUAGAGUGUGGAAGGGGCAAUCGGAAUUCUUGGUGUAGCGGUGAAAUGCGUAGAUAUCAAGAGGAACACCUGAGGUGAAGACGGGUUGCUGGGCCAACACUGACGCUGAGGCGCGAAAGCCAGGGGAGCAAACGGG
RNAcentral lists this ribosomal RNA (253 nucleotides) under uncultured bacterium. Its description in RNAcentral is "partial 16S ribosomal RNA". It matches the Rfam family "Bacterial small subunit ribosomal RNA", at positions 524 to 776 of the family's 1533-position model. The record is from RNAcentral.